Molecule: ribosomal RNA, 439 nt
Filed under: uncultured bacterium
Lineage: Bacteria
Description: partial 16S ribosomal RNA
Rfam family: Bacterial small subunit ribosomal RNA
Source: RNAcentral
CUACGGGGUGCAGCAGUGGGGAAUAUUGGACAAUGGGCGCAAGCCUGAUCCAGCAAUGCCGCGUGAGUGAAGAAGGCCUUAGGGUUGUAAAGCUCUUUCACCCGUGAAGAUGAUGACGGUAACGGGAGAAGAAGCCCCGGCUAACUCCGUGCCAGCAGCCGCGGUAAUACGGAGGGGGCUAGCGUUGUUCGGAAUUACUGGGCGUAAAGCGCACGUAGGCGGUUCGUCAAGUUAGGCGUGAAAGGCCUGGGCUCAACCCGGGAACGGCGCUUAAGACUGGCGGACUGGAGUCCGGGAGAGGGUGGUGGAAUUCCCAGUGUAGAGGUGAAAUUCGUAGAUAUUGGGAAGAACACCGGUGGCGAAGGCGGCCACCUGGCCCGGUACUGACGCUGAGGUGCGAAAGCGUGGGGAGCGAACAGGAUUAGAUACCCCAGUAGUC